This 309-nucleotide ribosomal RNA is filed under the name Shewanella frigidimarina. RNAcentral's name for it is "bacterial SSU rRNA". It matches the Rfam family "Bacterial small subunit ribosomal RNA", at positions 23 to 326 of the family's 1533-position model. Lineage: Bacteria; Pseudomonadati; Pseudomonadota; Gammaproteobacteria; Alteromonadales; Shewanellaceae. The record is from RNAcentral.
CUCAGAUUGAACGUUGGCGGCAGGCCUAACACAUGCAAGUCGAGCGGUAACAGAAAGUAAGCUUGCUUACUUUGCUGACGAGCGGCGGACGGGUGAGUAAUGCCUAGGGAUCUGCCCAGUCGAGGGGGAUAACAGUUGGAAACGACUGCUAAUACCGCAUACGCCCUACGGGGGAAAGGAGGGGACCUUCGGGCCUUCCGCGAUUGGAUGAACCUAGGUGGGAUUAGCUAGUUGGUGAGGUAAUGGCUCACCAAGGCGACGAUCCCUAGCUGUUCUGAGAGGAUGAUCAGCCACACUGGGACUGAGACA